Molecule: ribosomal RNA, 484 nt
Filed under: uncultured bacterium
Lineage: Bacteria
Description: bacterial SSU rRNA
Rfam family: Bacterial small subunit ribosomal RNA
Source: RNAcentral
AUUGAACGCUGGCGGCAGGCCUAACACAUGCAAGUCGAACGGCAGCACGGGAGCAAUCCUGGUGGCGAGUGGCGAACGGGUGAGUAAUAUAUCGGAACGUGCCCAGUCGUGGGGGAUAACGUAGCGAAAGCUACGCUAAUACCGCAUACGAUCUAUGGAUGAAAGCGGGGGAUCGCAAGACCUCGCGCGAUUGGAGCGGCCGAUAUCAGAUUAGGUAGUUGGUGAGGUAAAGGCUCACCAAGCCGACGAUCUGUAGCUGGUCUGAGAGGACGACCAGCCACACUGGGACUGAGACACGGCCCAGACUCCUACGGGAGGCAGCAGUGGGGAAUUUUGGACAAUGGGCGCAAGCCUGAUCCAGCAAUGCCGCGUGCAGGAUGAAGGCCUUCGGGUUGUAAACUGCUUUUGUACGGAACGAAACGGUGAGCUCUAAUACAGUUUGCUAAUGACGGUACCGUAAGAAUAAGCACCGGCUAACUACGUG